UGGCGCCAUGUGCUGAGGAGAAUAGGCCCCGCCCCCUUUUCGGCGGGCUCUUCUCCCGGAGUUUGUGAGAUCUGGCAGGGGUUAAAUACAUCCAUAUAGCCUCAAGGGCUAUAUGUGAUGUAUUUUAGCCAUAAAAAGGUAUUAUACAUUGCUGCCCAGGGCGCCCCCCCCCAGCGCCCUGCACCCUCAGUGACAGUUGGUGACUGUUGGUGAAGUGUGCUGACAACAAUGGCGCACAGCUGCAGUGCUGUGCGCUACCUUAUGAAGACUGAAAGUCUUCUGCCGCCUGUUUCUGGACUCUGGACCUCUUCAACUUCGGCAUCUGCAAGGGGGGUCGGCGGCACGGCUCCGGGACGAACCCCAGGGUGAGACCUGUGUUCCGACUCCCUCUGGAGCUAAUGGUGUCCAGUAGCCUAAGAAGCAAAUCCAUCCUGCACGCAGGUCCCAGCAAACCUACCACAGCAUGAUGGCACAGAAACAAAGCUGUUAACCUUUUGAAUAUUAUGUUAUAUGAAGAUCCCCGGCACCCCUUGUUCACCAGUGUAUUACCUACAAAUCCAUUAAACAGGUCUGUUCUUCA
Long non-coding RNA from Pseudophryne corroboree (corroboree frog), 580 nucleotides. RefSeq lists it as uncharacterized. The record is from RefSeq and is a predicted model, not a curated record. The transcript is spliced from 2 exons. Lineage: Eukaryota; Metazoa; Chordata; Amphibia; Anura; Myobatrachidae.